RNAcentral lists this ribosomal RNA (254 nucleotides) under uncultured bacterium. RNAcentral's name for it is "partial 16S ribosomal RNA". It matches the Rfam family "Bacterial small subunit ribosomal RNA", at positions 524 to 776 of the family's 1533-position model. The record is from RNAcentral.
UACGUAGGGACCGAGCGUUGUCCGGAAUCAUUGGGCGUAAAGAGCGUGUAGGCGGCUCGCUAAGUCUUGCGUGAAAUCUCGGGGCUCAACCCCCGAGCGGUCGUGAGAAACUGGCGGGCUAGAGUGCGGGAGAGGAGAGUGGAAUUCCUGGUGUAGCGGUGAAAUGCGCAGAUAUCAGGAAGAACACCCGUGGCGAAGGCGGCUCUCUGGAACGCAACUGACGCUGAGACGCGAAAGCGUGGGGAGCAAACAGG